This 104-nucleotide microRNA precursor is filed under the name Eutrema salsugineum. Its description in RNAcentral is "MIR400 microRNA precursor family". It matches the Rfam family "MIR400 microRNA precursor family". The record is from Rfam by way of RNAcentral. Lineage: Eukaryota; Viridiplantae; Streptophyta; Magnoliopsida; Brassicales; Brassicaceae.
GAAAGAUUGUUUAUAAGAGUAUUAUAAGUCACUACAUUUGGUAAAACCAAGUGUUGCUUUCCCAAACGAAGUGACUUAUAAUACUCUUAUGAAUAGAUUUUGCA